GUGCUCAAUAGUGCAAAGAAAGUGAAGACUUUCAUCCUGAUCAAAUCAAAGCAGUGUUGCUGAAUGCUGAUUGUUGUCAUGGAAAACAAUACGUAGCCACCACUUUCAACUUUGAAGUUUGAACUCUAGUUGUUCUUCUUAUCCAAUUUCUAAGCUCUUUUUGUAUUCCUAUGUAAUCCAGCAAGAACAAAUAACUCACCCAAUUUUGUUUCUGAGGCAGGCUGUGGUCUGUCACAAAAAGGACGUAAAACCACUUCUUUUAUAGAGGUCAUUUUCAAAGUAGGAUUCUAUUUGAUUUAAUAAGGUUUUAUAAAAAAUUUCAUAAAUUCACGUACAAAAUAAAAAAUAGCCAUAUAUUGAAUUCCAGUACGUUUAGGAGUCUUCUGAUAUAUUUAGGAGUUUGUUUAGAAACAAAACUUUUCAUAUAUAUUUACUAUAGUUAUUCUUUAAUAAUAAAAUAUAAAAUAGUAUAAAAAUGGUAAAAACAUAAUUUUAUCUAUUGUAAAAACUUUUAAUGAAUGACAAAAAUUUUAAAUCACUUUUCUAAGGGUUUUCACAUUUGUAAUAUAUUAUAUUAUACGCUAUUAUAGUAUAUAUUAUAGAUGAUAGAUAUAGAUAGAUUAUAAAUUAUAAAUUAAUAAUUCUUUGAUAUGAGAAACAAAAGAAUAACUCACCUUUUUCUUCUUUGUUCAGUUAAGUAUAAAACCUCAUUAAUUGUAAACCCUUGAGGCAACUCCUUUGUAGCAUACGACUUGGUACAAUGCUGUGAUUUUCAAUAUGUGAGGUACUUGAGCCCUUAAAGUCAAAAGCAAUAAUAAAAUAAUAGUUAAUUAUGAAUCAUCAACUCGUAUAUUCAAUUGUUCAAUGAUAAACUACCACUUGAAACUAAUAACACAUAAUUUAUAAUGAAUAUAUAAUUUAAGAUGUUUAUAUCCAAUGCCAUCUUAGAAAAAAAAAAUCCAACAAAUAAAGUAAGCACUUUUUUUCUCCCAAUGGAUAUAACAAAAAAUCAUUAGAACCCAACAAAUGAAUUUUGGAAUUUUAAUGGUCUUUGAAAGCCAUAAAUGCAGCAACACCAAUGAAAAAUAAUUUAUAAAGAGAAGUUUGGAUCUUUGAUUUAUAAUAUUGUGAUAAAAAUACGGUCAAGUGUCCUUUUCUAAUUUUUUUUUUUUAUAUAUUUUAAGAGUUUACAUUAAUUCUCUUAAUACGUCUUUGCAUAUAUUUUAGAUUUUCUUCACGUUGGAAAUUCAUAAUUGGAAUUGCGCCUUACGUGCCAAGUCCAUAGACUUUCUAUAUAUGGAUGCAACUAAUAUUAAAUAUUUUUAAAAUAAUUAAAUAAUAGUUUAAUAAAAAUAAUGAAAAAAUAAUUUUAUCUAUUGCAGAGAUUUUUAAUAAAUAGCAAAAAGUUCAAAUCACUAAUCUAUAUCUAUAAUCUAUGAUUUAUAAUCUAUAUCUAUAUCUAUGAUAUAUUAAAAGUGUGAAGGACCUUAGAAAUAUUGUUUGAACUUUUUGCCCUUUAUUAAAAGUAUUUGUUUUAGACAAAAUCGUUUUUGCACUUUUUUUUUUAAUAUUUAAGAGUUAAAAAUUAAUAAAAUAUAUUUAUGAUAAAAUCUUUCUUUAUUUGAAUUCAAUUAAAUUUAGUCCUUAAACACUUCCUUAUUUGAAUUAUAUAUAUCAUAAAAGAACUUAUACAUUGAUUACAUCUUUAUUAAAUUCAAUUAAAUUAUUUAUAACAUUAGUAUUACAAAUUUGGUAGUUUUUUUUUUCUUUUUUAGUAGUAAAUGUUUCUCUUAGAAAAAAUAAAAAUUGUUAUAGCUUUUGAUUUUGUUUUUGUUUUUACAAGCUUUUGGUUGAUAUAUUGCGGUGAGUUUUGGACAAUUAAGUUGCUUGUGGAAAAAUAAAAGUUGGUAAGAGAUUAUAAUAUUUAACAUUUUUAAAUGAAUUAGAAUUUUAAUUUAUAUAAAAAAGAAAUUUGUACAAUUCUAUUUAUAACUUGAAACUUAUAGUGGUAAAAUAUAUGUGCUUACACUAAAAUAUAUGUUUAUGUUUAUAUUAUUACAUUAAAGUGUGAAGGAUCUUUGAAAAGUAAUUUAAACUUUUUACAGUUCAUUAAAUAUCUCUGCAAUAGAUAAAAUUAUUUAAUUUUAAAUAAUCAAACAUUACACGUGCAAGGCACGUGCAAUUAAACUAGUUUUCUAAAUGUUGUCACACUUAAAUAUAUAGUAGAUGUAGAUGAAAUAGCGGACUCUUUUUUGAAAAAAAUCAUAAGAAUGGUUCUUAAAUAUUUAGGAGGUUAGUAUAUUAUUCAAAUUAAAAUUUUAUAGAACUUUUUCCAUCAUCCUUUACAAAUCCUCACCUCAUAUUUACUUAAAAUGAUAAUUUAUUUGAGGUAAGUUUAAUUCCAUAAUUAAUUUUUGAUGAGACUUUUUCUUGUUGAAAAACUGUUUGAAUUGCAACAAUCACGUAACAGAAGUCCUUUAUGGACUUUCCAUGUAUGGUUAUUGAUCCAAUUCCAAUUUCAACGUGAGGUUCUUUAUGAAAUUAUCAAACUUCAUUAAUAAUAUAUUUUUAAAAAAAUAUUAAAUGAUGAUUUUGUAUAGUACGGUGACUUUUAAGAAGAACAAAAAAUUCAAAUCUUAAUAGUCUAAUUUUUCAUGUAUAUCACAACAAUAAAUAUAAAUUGUAUUCAAGAUAAAUAAUAAUACAACAACGACAACAUAUUUCUGGUAGACCCGAGGACUAAUCACCUAAUAAGAAAAAAAAUAGUUCAAGCUCAAUAAAAUGCAUAUAGAUUGUUUUCGGAGUGACAUGUGACGGAUUAAAGAAAGACACUUGAACAGAUAUCUCUAAGUCAAUAUGCAAUUCAAAGUAAAUAACCACACAUCAAAGCAAAAAGAUAGCGCACAUUACCCUCCUCAUAAUUAUACCCGAAAUAGUCGAGAUAUGUAAUUCACUCGUAUAGAAUGCAAUCAGAGUCCUACAAGAAUUGACUAUAUCUGGUAGCUUAUCUUCAUUGUGUGAGAAGCAGGAGCCCUCUUCUCAGUAUCAUUGAGGCAAAAGUGCAGAACAUUUACUAAUGGUUUCAGAACAUUUAUACGAGUGAAUGAAAAGUGCAGAACAUUUACAAUACGACAAUUAAAAGCUGAAAUUAAGAUUUAACAAACUGGUAAAACAACAGCUAUUCAACUAAUUUGUUGAAAAGAAAACUCAAACUAAGUUAGUAUUAGGUUGGAUUAGAUUUUGAAAAUUUACCAUCAAAUAUCAAAUUUUUAGCAUAUGUCCAUACUAUUUAUAAAUAUAAAGUAAUUAACUAUUCGAAUUUGUAACGGAAGACAACGGAGGAUUCGGUGAGAUUUUUUAAUUUGUCACUGUAUUCGUUUUUACCGUAUUAUGGAAUGCAAUUCAAUGAUUAGAAAAUUAAAAUUGUAACUCCAACGGUUUUGGAUACUUGGAAUUACAGGGUUGUCUAAACAUGAAAUUAUUAAGUCAUUAAAAAUGCUUAGACAAUUAUAAAAAAUAUAUGAAAGAGACGAACAUAACAGUAUAUCAAGGCUCAAUAAAAACCAAACAAGACAAUUUACAACAAAAAUUUGACUAUUACUUGAUGUAAUUACCUUAUACCAAAUCUUGCGCACUUUUUUGAAGAGAUUUAAUUUUAGUAAUUCUCAACAAUACUCUUUCUGAUCGUGCCUGCAACAGAAAGAAUUAAUUUAGUAUAAGAGUAAAAAGGUAAGCAAGAUAUCAAUAACUCGUAAUGUAUUCUCUAUUAAGGCAAUGGAAUCUUACAUAUAGUAAAAUCAAAAGCACGAUGAUAAAAGAGGUCUUUAAAAGUAAAUUGUUGAUGAUAUAUAAAACAACAAUAAAAUUCAUAUAGAAAAAGAAUAGAAGAACC
Molecule: long non-coding RNA, 3892 nt
Filed under: Capsicum annuum
Lineage: Eukaryota; Viridiplantae; Streptophyta; Magnoliopsida; Solanales; Solanaceae
Description: long non-coding RNA (CANN_LNC008205)
Source: RNAcentral